GACGAACGCUGGCGGCGUGCUUAACACAUGCAAGUCGAACGGAAAGGCCCUGCUUUUGUGGGGUGCUCGAGUGGCGAACGGGUGAGUAACACGUGAGUAACCUGCCCUUGACUUUGGGAUAACUUCAGGAAACUGGGGCUAAUACCGGAUAGGAGCUCCUGCUGCAUGGUGGGGGUUGGAAAGUUUCGGCGGUUGGGGAUGGACUCGCGGCUUAUCAGCUUGUUGGUGGGGUAGUGGCUUACCAAGGCUUUGACGGGUAGCCGGCCUGAGAGGGUGACCGGCCACAUUGGGACUGAGAUACGGCCCAGACUCCUACGGGAGGCAGCAGUGGGGAAUAUUGCACAAUGGGCGGAAGCCUGAUGCAGCAACGCCGCGUGCGGGAUGACGGCCUUCGGGUUGUAAACCGCUUUCGCCUGUGACGAAGCGUGAGUGACGGUAAUGGGUAAAGAAGCACCGGCUAACUACGUGCCAGCAGCCGCGGUGAUACGUAGGGUGCGAGCGUUGUCCGGAUUUAUUGGGCGUAAAGGGCUCGUAGGUGGUUGAUCGCGUCGGAAGUGUAAUCUUGGGGCUUAACCCUGAGCGUGCCUUCGAUACGGGUUGACUUGAGGAAGGUAGGGGAGAAUGGAAUUCCUGGUGGAGCGGUGGAAUGCGCAGAUAUCAGGAGGAACACCAGUGGCGAAGGCGGUUCUCUGGGCCUUUCCUGACGCUGAGGAGCGAAAGCGUGGGGAGCGAACAGGCUUAGAUACCCUGGUAGUCCACGCUGUAAACGGUGGGUACUAGGUGUGGGGUCCAUUCCACGGGUUCCGUGCCGUAGCUAACGCUUUAAGUACCCCGCCUGGGGAGUACGGCCGCAAGGCUAAAACUCAAAGGAAUUGACGGGGCCCCGCACAAGCGGCGGAGCAUGCGGAUUAAUUCGAUGCAACGCGUAGAACCUUACCUGGGUUUGACAUGGAUCGGGAGCGCUCAGAGAUGGGUGUGCCUCUUUUGGGGUCGGUUCACAGGUGGUGCAUGGCUGUCGUCAGCUCGUGUCGUGAGAUGUUGGGUUAAGUCCCGCAACGAGCGCAACCCUUGUUCACUGUUGCCAGCACGUUAUGGUGGGGACUCAGUGGAGACCGCCGGGGUCAACUCGGAGGAAGGUGGGGAUGACGUCAAGUCAUCAUGCCCCUUAUGUCCAGGGCUUCACGCAUGCUACAAUGGCUGGUACAGAGAGUGGCGAGCCUGUGAGGGUGAGCGAAUCUCGGAAAGCCGGUCUCAGUUCGGAUUGGGGUCUGCAACUCGACCUCAUGAAGUCGGAGUCGCUAGUAAUCGCAGAUCAGCAACGCUGCGGUGAAUACGUUCCCGGG
This 1343-nucleotide ribosomal RNA is filed under the name uncultured bacterium. RNAcentral's name for it is "16S ribosomal RNA". It matches the Rfam family "Bacterial small subunit ribosomal RNA", at positions 28 to 1378 of the family's 1533-position model. The record is from RNAcentral.